GAAGUCUGUGGCAGAGCUGGAAAUGGAACCCAAAUCUUAAAUGAUUUGGAGUUUUAUAAACAGAGCUUGACUGACGAACCAUUCAGUAAGGUUGGGAUCAACUUUCCGUGUUUUCAGUGAUUCACACUGAGACAGGAAGAUUUGCUGUCUUGCUGCUCAUGUGGUUUCUAGUGUCAUAAUCAGGGAGCUGGGCCAGAAGAAGCAUUAAGGGGGUAACAUACUGCUAAUGAAACAGCAGUCUAAGUAGUACAAUGAAGAGUGUCUUGUACCAAUGGCAUCUAGAGCAAGAACAGUGGUUCCAUCUGCUUUUCACUUCACCGAGUUACUGUCAGGCAGUAAGCCAGUGUGAUACAGAGAAAAUAGGGUAGUGUAAUUCUUUUCAUCUCUAUAUUUUACUCUCAUUAGACCUAGAAAUAAUUAUAAUGUUUAGCUAGGUGCCUUUCAUCUUAAUGUCCUUCACAAAUAUUAAAUAAUCUAAUAGCUAUGAUUAAACUUUCACUUGGUAAAGUUAUUAAUGUUUGGAAACAAAUUACUAAUU
This is a long non-coding RNA of Mauremys mutica (yellowpond turtle), 538 nucleotides long. RefSeq lists it as uncharacterized. Lineage: Eukaryota; Metazoa; Chordata; Testudines; Geoemydidae. The record is from RefSeq and is a predicted model, not a curated record. The transcript has 3 exons.